AGUGUGGGAUUCGAGGGAGCCACCCUGCGGAUCCCGCGGUGUGGGGACCGAGACCCGCGGCGCCCGCCGCGGCCCCGGCUAGGGCGCGGGCGGGGACUCCGGGGCGGGGGCGGGGGCGGGGGCGCGGGGCCGGGCCGGGCGGGGGCGGGGGCGGGGAGCGGGGGGACAGAGGGCGGAGGCUCCGGGGCGGGGGCCGCGCCGCUCACGCCCAGCCCCUCGGCCGCGCCGCGCCUCGCCGGACAGGUUGGGCCGGCGGGGCGGCGCCCGGCUCGGGGGAAUAAUGAGUGUCUGUCAGGCCGUCCCCGGGUGACUGGGCGGGGGCGGGGCGGAGGCGGCGCGGGAGGCGGGGGUGGCGGGGGAAGGGCGCAGGGCGGGGUGCGUGUUUGCGCGAGUGACUCGGCCGACCCCUCCGGCGGCUGCCUCCACCCAAGUGGGUGGGGACCCGCCCAGCCCGGGCGGCCGCGGCGGCUCCCUCUCCCCUCCCUGACCCUCCCACCCCGGGUCCCAGCCUCUACUUACCCCGCCAGCCCCGGGAGGCUCGCAGAGCGAGCGGCGCCGGCGUCAUGUGACUGCCCGGAGUUGGUGCCAGGAGCCAGAGGGGAGCCAGGAGCGGAGCCGCGCGGAGCCGGGGCCCGAGCCGGAGCGCAGCGCGAGCGCCUGCCGCACGCGCGCCCGUCCCCGUCCCCGUCCCUGUGCCCUGCGGCCGCCACCGCCACAGCCGCCCGGGCUGGCGCGCUGAACAUUACUGCAUUCGCGGGCUCAAGGCAGAUCGGAUUCGGGCCUUUAUUUCUCGUCUGCAGCGCUCAGCACCGCGCCUCGAAAAGUAAGUCCCCUCUCCCUCACCUUUCCUCGCCCCGACUCCUGCUGUCGCCCGUUUGGGUUCGUCCGGUCUCGUUUUUUCCCUGGGGUGGGGGGGCCGCAGUGAAUGGGCUGGGGGGUGCAGCGCGGGGGUGGGGGCGCCUGUGGGCUUGGGAAAGUGCAACAGCUCCUCGAAGCCGGGGGUGGGGACGGAGGGAGAGGCGAGGGGAGGGGAGGGGGGACCCCGGGUUCAGCGGUUUAAAGUGUGGGAUUCGAGGGAGCCACCCUGCGGAUCCCGCGGUGUGGGGGGACCGAGACCCGCGGCGCCCGCCGCGGCCCCCGGCUAGGGCGCGGGCGGGGGCUCACCUGUGUGGUCCCCCGGCUGCCGCCCGCCCGCCCGCUCGCGAUUCCCUCCAAAGCCUCAGAAAUCUCAGUGCUCUCCGCGUGUGGCAACGUUGUUUGGAGAAAGGUAGCGCGGAGGCCGCGCACUCCUGCUCCUCCCCCUCCGGGUCCCCCACCCCCCGCUCCCAUGCCCUCCCCACCCCGCCCCCCGCCGCCCCCCUCUUCGGACGGGGCGCGCGACCGCUCGCCCGCCGGAGCAAAACUUGGAGCAGCCUCCCGGGGCCUCUGGGAAGAAACUUGGGGCCAUUGGGACUGAAGGCAGCAUCCCAUUCUCGAUCCUGGAGCCCAAGAGCUGCCAGGGCGUCUGGAUCCUCGGGGGCAGGAGAAAAGAGCUGGCCGGGUUUGGAGAGUCCUCCUCGGGGGCACAGAGAGAACCUGCCGCAGUGCCUGGAGCAAGGAUUGCAGCGAGGCUGGAGGCGGAGAGCGCCUUAG
RNAcentral lists this long non-coding RNA (1632 nucleotides) under Felis catus (domestic cat). RNAcentral's name for it is "lncRNA (ENSFCAG00000052906.1)". The record is from RNAcentral. Lineage: Eukaryota; Metazoa; Chordata; Mammalia; Carnivora; Felidae.